GGUAAUCGUGUCCAGUUAAACUUACAGUUUUGGCCUGGUCUUCAAAUUGGGUAGUGCGUGAUGCAGGGAGAGUAUGCAUAGGAUUUGAUUGCUCUUCACAAUAGAUGGCAUCAGUGAGAUUGUUGAUUCUAUUCAUAUCAUGGUUGCUGUCAGGCAAACUAGAAGAGGGUGGUAUAUGAUCUGAAAAAUUAAUUUCAUGAAUACAGCGUUAAGCAAGAACAGAUAUGACUCCUAAACAAUUAAAGGCUGAGCAUAUGGGUAACAAUCCUCACAGCUGCAGAUUGUAAUGUAAGCCGAAAGGGGUGAGAUAAAUAUGAAAAGGAUAUUAAGAACUCAUGCAAUCAAUUAAAAAUAAAAUAGCAAACUAUAGGAAAAAACAUAUUCAAUUGCUAAACAAGUUGGUUGUGCGGAUAUAUACGAGGCGAUUUAGUGGAGCGAAUCGUGCCACUUUGAAACGUAUCAUGAAGAACGGCUGCCUAAUGUAAAUAGGGUGUAUCAGAAUAGGGAAAAAGUGUACUGAUCUCGUUAAGACUAUGUCUUGAUAUAUAAGUGUAAUACAUAAGAAUAAGAUACAACCUGGAAAAGAGAUAAAGAGAAAAUUCAGACUACAUAGUGCUAACCUGAGCAAGUAGUAGUACGUGCAUGGUCGUCCCUGCAAGCUUCUUGAUGAGGUUUAGUGCAAGGUGUAGUGCCACCAGUUUUAGAUGUGGCGGGAUCUGUGACCAAGAUUUCCAAAAUAACUGCUGUUAAGCUUUUAUGGUAAAUGGUCAUUACCGAGCAUUUUGCUUGUUGUAGUAUGCAAUACGCAGUACCUGGGGUGUAUGAGUUUUGGCCGUUGCCAUCCCUUAAUACGUCAUCUCUGUAGCAAGAACUUGGGGGUCCUGAAAACACCACCGUUUCCAUGCUCGAAUACUUGAUGUACAGAAAGUAAUGUACAGAAAAAUAAGUUGAAACUUUCAGGAGCAAUUUGAUUAGGAAUUGAAAA
This 985-nucleotide long non-coding RNA is filed under the name Setaria viridis. RNAcentral's name for it is "long non-coding RNA (SVIR_LNC003338)". The record is from RNAcentral. Lineage: Eukaryota; Viridiplantae; Streptophyta; Magnoliopsida; Poales; Poaceae.